This 254-nucleotide ribosomal RNA is filed under the name uncultured bacterium. RNAcentral describes it as "partial 16S ribosomal RNA". It matches the Rfam family "Bacterial small subunit ribosomal RNA", at positions 524 to 776 of the family's 1533-position model. The record is from RNAcentral.
CACGUAGGGUGCGAGCGUUGUCCGGAAUUAUUGGGCGUAAAGAGCUCGUAGGCGGUGUGUCGCGUCGGCCGUGAAAACCUGCAGCUUAACUGUGGGCUUGCGGUCGAUACGGGCAUCACUGGAGUUCGGCAGGGGAGACUGGAAUUCCUGGUGUAGCGGUGAAAUGCGCAGAUAUCAGGAGGAACACCGGUGGCGAAGGCGGGUCUCUGGGCCGCAACUGACACUGAGGAGCGAAAGCAUGGGGAGCGAACAGG